UGAUGUUAAUUUAAUGGAUAAUAUUUAAUAAUAAUUAAUUAUUUACUCAAUUUAUGUUCCAUUAAACAACUGUUAUUGGUGAAGUAAUCAUUCCCACAAGUAUUGUCACAAUGAUUUUUGCCAGUUAGUGCUGUAAAUUAACCAUCAAACGAAUUGCAUAAUCACGAUUAUGAUCGUGAUGAUCCUUAUGUUACUCAGCUUUGAUCACUAAAUUAACAUUAAUUGUCUAUUCUUUUUUUUCUUUGGGAAACAGAUUUUGUUGCCAUAGAUGAUGACUUAAUGAACAAUCAGUGGUAAGAUUUAAUGUUAAUGUCAACCUUUGAAACCAAUACCCAACAAAUGGAUUUCAUCUCAUAUCAAACCCUUGAUUUAUCAAAAAGACAAACAACUUUAGUCACUCAGCUCAAGAGUUGUCUUAUUUGAUCAUUUGAAUAUGAAAACCCAUUUAUUUGAUUCACUGACUUAUUUUAGCUGAAAUUUGAUAAUCUCUUUGAUCAAAUAACUUCCCAUUUUUUGUCCAAAUAACAUAAUCAAUUUGCAAGAAGUGUUUCAAGUUGGUUAGAUUAAGCUAAAGCUGUUAGCUUGUUUACAUGACUUUAUCAAGCAUUUGCUUUAUGGUUAUCUAUUGUAUCAGGAUUCAAUGGCAAAGUCAACUUGUAUCCAUAAACAAAGAUCUCGUAAUUAUGGAUCACUUGCUCACGUUGAUAUAAUAAUUAUAAAGGUCGAGGUAAAAGGUGCAAUGAAGUCUGGACAAUGGAAUAGAUGACCAAAAAAGAAUCAAUGAGGAAUCUUGAACAUUGGAGUGUUUGGUUUAAAAUUGAACAUCGGCAGUAAAAGAAAGCCAUUGACCUGCUCAAUGGUUUCACCUGUCCCUUGAAAAUCUUAAAGAUUGGCGAAGAAAAUAGUUCGUAUAAGGGUCAGUCUUCAGUUUCCAAUUUCAUUAAAUACAUAGUGAUUUGGUUGGCUCCAACAGCGGUCAAUACGGAUAACCACAACAUCAUCGGAAGAAAAUGUCCAUUCAAAGAGGGAAGAUAAGCAAAGGGAGAAGUACAAAGAUGAAGAAAAGUCAAAGAGUUUCUUAAACAAGUGGAAAUAUUCUCAAUGUUUCGUCUGGUCGUCGGCUAACUUAUUGUAAGGUGGAAUAUAAGAAAAGAGCAAAACUAAAGAUCACAUUUUCAACUACUUUUAAGGUAAGAAAAGGUUAGCCUUUCUUACUACUCAUAAGGAUUGAGUUACCAAGAAAAGGUUGCUGUACCAUUAUUAUUUUAUUAUCAUGGUUAUACUUUGGUUUUUGGCGAGUGAAAAAAGACUGUUGCAGUUUCAAAAUCCGAUAAACAAAUGGUUAAAUUUUACCUGUUUUUAUUGUUUAUAUUAAUACAUAAUACAUUGAGAUUUUUUUGCCGGACAACUCCAAGCACAGGACUUCUUCAGCUCCAAAUCUGCAGAAAGAAAACUUAUGAACUUGUAAAACUCGCACAUUUCCUUGAUUCCUGUGGUCAAAGAUUUUUAUAACUUUGCUAGUUAUUUAGAGACAAAAAAAGUCCUCACCAUGAGUUCAACUUUACAUUCCAUCAAAUUUGUUGGCUAUUGCUGUCCUUUUUUAACCUCAGUCCAGUUUUAACCUGGAUACUUCAGCAUCCAUUCUCUGGAUAUCUCAAUGCUCCUUCACUAUCCACCACCCAACCGCCCAUUGGAUGAACAAAGAGCCAAGACUUGAAGUCCAAAGAAAUUCACAGUAGUUGGCCUUAAAUUUUUUUACCUUACCGUCUCAAUGCUUUUCAAAAGGCAAAAAGAAAGCUGAAAGACUCAAAAACACUUCUAAUUCACCUAACCUCAUAGAGUGAUCUAUGAAAAUUGUCAAAAUGAACAGGUUAACCUUUCACAUUGACCAUUCAAAAUAAUAAUAUCAACUCAAGAACUUCCCAAUCAAAAUCAUACAGAAGUAAAAACAAAAAUGUAGACCUGUAAACUUGUCUAUUAUUUUUACCUGCAUUGCCAACAGUUGUUGAAUAACCUUGACUAAAACAUGUUUUUUUACCUUUCUCUUCCCAAUCUUUUAGAGGAUCCAUCAAAAAGAAACGUUACAAAGCCAUCAAAAGGCCAAAUGAAGACCCAUGGUAUCUCAUCAAUUUGAGGAAUCUUGUUCUAGAAGGCAAAAUAAAUGAAUAAAGAAACUCUUCAACUGAUACUUGAUUCAAUAUAGAAACAAGUAACCACCUUCAAUCACUAUAAAAUCAUUCUCAUUGGACGAUCCACUUCAUGGGAGGAAAAGGUUCCCCUUUGUUCAUGCGUUUCCCCUGAUAAUUCAAUUCAGAUUGACUGACAAAUCAAAGCUGAUGAAGUGUAUAGAGUAAAUGUGAUGUAUCAAUAUUUCAUUGAUCAAACUAAGGAAAAGCAAACAAAUUUUAAAGGCUUACUCUGCGGUUUUCAAGAGUCCAGGAGUCAUUUCAUUUAUACUCGAAUAGUCAAGUAUUUGUUCAUUCCUGAUUUUUGAGCUGAAUUAAUUUCCAACGGUGGCUUCUUAUCCUGGUGAAAAGUCAAUUACAAAUCUAUCAAGACUUGUUAUCGUCAGUUUGAAUGACAUUAUUAUACAAACUAAAUAACAUGUUUAUGCUAAAUCAACGUUUAAAUAGCAGGUCAAACGUUUUUCAUUGUCUGUUAUUGACUGUGAAAGAAACAAACAAAAAAAAAGAAACACUGAAAGAUGUUUUGAUGAGUGUCUCAAUUUUCAGUUGAAAUUGAGGUAAACGAUCAUACUAUUUAAGUUAAUCAUUUGAUUUCGUGAUUUGAAAUGGAAUGGUCAUCAUACUAACAGAUCCAUUAUCAAUAGAUAUAAGUAAAAAGUCAAUUUUGACCAGUGAAAAGAAAACAAUUUACAAACGUGAAUCUUAACAAAAAAAAGAGAGCAAAAAGUAUAAAAAUGAAUGAUCUACUGAGAAAAAAAGAAGUAAACGAAAAAACAUUUUCUUUUACACUUAUAUCUAUUUAUUUAUUAUUAAAAUAUUGUAAUGCACAAUAGCUUCUAUUAUUACAGAUUGAAAUGUUAUUCAAUUUUUCCUAUCAACAUCUUCAUUACCACAAUUGACUGACAACAAACAAAAUCAACACUAAAAAGUAUCAAAGUACAGCAGUGAUCAGACUUGAGUUAAUUUUAGGUGUCGAGCAUAUUCAGUCUGUAGAGAUGAGAAACCAAUGAAAUAGAAAACUGGACAAGUUCGAUCUUAUUGGUACUUCUAUCGUUUCAUCCAGUCAUAGACCAUGAAAUAAACUACGAUUUCGUUGACUUCCGAGCAAAUUAAUGACCAUGAUGAUGUUAAUAAUAAUCGUGAUGUUAUCAGUAUGGCAAAUGAAAGGAACCAAGGAAAAGCCAAAAACAUAGGUAACAUUUACCUUUGGUAACCGGAAAUAAUCCCAUAAGGAGUAUUCUCACAUAAUCAAGCCUUCAAAUAUGAUUACGAACGAUUAAUUUUCAACAAACUAUCAACAACAACAAUCAAAAGGGAGAAGGCAAGAAAAACCAAGUUGAUACCAACAGCAAAAAAAACAUUGCAAUGAACAAAUAAAAAGGCAACAAAAAAAGGAUGACAUUUCAUUUGAAAUAUGAUUUACUUGCAAUACAACAAAAACUCAACACAAUCAACACCUAAUUGGAUUUUUUAGACAUUUUGUUGCUUCCAGAAUCCUAAAUGUCUCUCAAGAACGUCUAAGAAAAUUGAUAUCACCAACUAAUCAUUGAUUAAGACAUGGAGGGUGAGAUAAAAAAUGACUGUCAAAUCAUUAGCUGCUCGCAAAAAAAGUGAAAGGACCGAGAAGCUGAAAUUGCAAGGCAAUGGUUGGGUAAAUGUAAAAAAGGCCCAAAAAAAUUGAAGAUAAAUUUGCUUUGAUUGUGUUGAUGAAGUACAAAGGAAAGUGAUGAGGAAGGAAUGAAUAAAUUCCAGUAGUAAGUGAACAAAAAAAUACCAACUAAUCAACGGAAAAGUCGAUUAAUGGUUAACAAAUGAUCUUCCAUAGAGUACAUUAAGGAUUGGUUUCCAUCAAUAGACUUGAACACCCUCAAUGGCAUUCCCUGUGUUAAUUUAUACUCUUUUUUACAUUGGUUUAUCAGUAAUUUCCGUUUGAUGACAUUAUUAUUAUUACAUUAUUACUACAUUAUUAUAUUAUUUGUAUUU
This is a non-coding RNA of Tetranychus urticae (two-spotted spider mite), 4169 nucleotides long. Lineage: Eukaryota; Metazoa; Arthropoda; Arachnida; Trombidiformes; Tetranychidae. The record is from RefSeq and is a predicted model, not a curated record.